UGGUGGAGUGAUUUGUCUGGUUAAUUCCGAUAACGAACGAGACCUUAACCUGCUAAAUAGUCACACUUAUCUUUGAUAGGUGUCUGACUUCUUAGAGGGACUAUAGAUGUUUAAUCUAUGGAAGUUUGAGGCAAUAACA
Molecule: ribosomal RNA, 139 nt
Filed under: uncultured eukaryote
Lineage: Eukaryota
Description: partial 18S ribosomal RNA
Rfam family: Eukaryotic small subunit ribosomal RNA
Source: RNAcentral